CAGUCGACGGCAGCGCGGACUUCGGUCUGGCGGCGAGUGGCGAACGGGUGAGUAAUACAUCGGAACGUGCCCUGUUGUGGGGGAUAACUAGUCGAAAGAUUAGCUAAUACCGCAUACGACCUGAGGGUGAAAGCGGGGGACCGWAAGGCCUCGCGCAAUAGGAGCGGCCGAUGUCUGAUUAGCUAGUUGGUGAGGUAAAGGCUCACCAAGGCGACGAUCAGUAGCUGGUCUGAGAGGACGAUCAGCCACACUGGGACUGAGACACGGCCCAGACUCCUACGGGAGGCAGCAGUGGGGAAUUUUGGACAAUGGGGGCAACCCUGAUCCAGCAAUGCCGCGUGUGUGAAGAAGGCCUUCGGGUUGUAAAGCACUUUUGUCCGGAAAGAAAUCCUUUGGGCUAAUACCCCGGAGGGAUGACGGUACCGGAAGAAUAAGCACCGGCUAACUACGUGCCAGCAGCCGCGGUAAUACGUAGGGUGCGAGCGUUAAUCGGAAUUACUGGGCGUAAAGCGUGCGCAGGCGGUUUUGUAAGACAGGCGUGAAAUCCCCGAGCUCAACUUGGGAAUUGCGCUUGUGACUGCAAGGCUAGAGUAUGUCAGAG
RNAcentral lists this ribosomal RNA (601 nucleotides) under Cupriavidus sp. RZ3MS12. RNAcentral describes it as "bacterial SSU rRNA". It matches the Rfam family "Bacterial small subunit ribosomal RNA", at positions 59 to 656 of the family's 1533-position model. The record is from RNAcentral. Lineage: Bacteria; Pseudomonadati; Pseudomonadota; Betaproteobacteria; Burkholderiales; Burkholderiaceae.